Xenopus laevis (African clawed frog) is the source of this 2590-nucleotide long non-coding RNA. RefSeq lists it as uncharacterized. The record is from RefSeq and is a predicted model, not a curated record. The transcript has 5 exons. Lineage: Eukaryota; Metazoa; Chordata; Amphibia; Anura; Pipidae.
AGUGCAGGUGUUAAGAUAAAAGGAGCAAAGCCCAUCACUGCCAUUCUGUUGGCUGCCUCGAAGAACCAUGUGACAGUUGAGAGCUGUCUGCGAGGUAGUGAGCAUUGGAAUCUCUGAGAAAUAAAGAGAACACAGGGGAGCGGCUGAGGAGCUCAGAAAGCGCAGCCAGGCAACUGUGGCUGCCAAGUGGAUACUGAUCAAGAUAAAUAGACUUCAAUUUACUUGAAUUAUUCUCGCACAGCUGAACAGUACAUCUCCGACAGACCUUUUCCCGUUCCUUUCUCUUAGUGAAAAUCAAAUUUUCCUGCCAGCGUCACCACUUGCUCUGGAUCAGCCAUCUUACCUUCUAAAUUGGUUCGAUUGAGGGAUUAUAACAGCUGAAAUGGAGCCAAAGUCUUCCUCCCCGCAGAAGCAUACUGUGAAGAAUCGUUCUAAAUCCACUGAAGAAGUUCAGCAAGCAAAGAAGGCAUUUCAUACACCACAGAAGUCCCUUCCAAAUACAGGAGAAGAAGCCAAUCUACAAGAGUCUGCUGAUACUACAGAAGAAGCUUCAUUGAAGGAGGGGACAUGUGAAAAUCAGGCACAGCAUUAGUACUAUGGAAUAUUCAGUCUCCAACUGUAUCCAAAAGCAAGUUUUAGGAUUGUUCCAUAUAAUUUGUGUUUUACCUCGGAGUGUAGGGACCCCCCCCCCGACCCAUCUUUCUAUGAUUUGGCCAACUGCAAAUUCUUCUCAAAAGAUCUGAUUAAAAUACUUAUUUGCAUAUGCAAAACUGACUAACUGAGAAUCCCCUCAUUUCUAGUCCUUUCAGCAAUAUCUUUUUGGCCCAACGGCCCUAUGCAGUAAAUUAAUAAGAAAAAUAGGGCUUUGUACAGCUGGCCACAUCUGAAAAUGUGAAGUUUACCUUAAAAUUAACAGCAGUGUUCCAAGACAAUUUGUUAUUUUCUGCAGUUCUAUCAUUUGCCGUGUUACAUCUAAAAACUCACUAGCAACCAGGAAAUUAAUUGAAUAACUAAAUCAAUGUACUCAAUACAAAAAUAACCUAGCCUCACAAUUAGUCUGGUCUCUGGGUGCUAGGGCACUGUCCUAAGGAACCAGGUUGUUGUAAAAGUUCCAGGUUAUUGAAAGACACAACAGAAAGGCACACCAUUAAAAGAAAACAGUAAAUAAAGAAGAGACAAGUUUGCUUAGAUUAUGUCUGCUUAAAAGUUACAGAAAAGGCCAUUUAUAGGUGAAUGCCUCCUUAAAAACGUGUUCUUGGAGGAACUCUGUGCGUCCAUCUUUGUGUGUAUCUUUCUUAUUAUUGGUGGCAGUUUGGUUGAAUGUAUGCUUUUAUGUCCUAUUGUCUGAGUACAGUAUAAAUAUUGUGAUAAUUCUGGCAGAGACAUCAGAGCAGAUAUAAUUUUUUUGCGUCUUCAAAUUUGCUGUAAUAAGUGAUGAAAGAUAUUCCCACACCAAAAAAUUAAGCAUUGAGCCUUUUUAGUCCUUUACCGUUUUGUGAUCUUUUCAGCCCCCACGGAUUUUUUUUUAAUUAUUUAGCAUCCUUUGCUGUUUUUGGCAUGAUGUGUCUGCCAUACUGUAGAUUCAUUACCAAGACUAUAUCAAUGUCAUCUCACGGCUGGCAUUUUGCAACUGACUAAACAGAAACAGCCAUUUAUUUUGUCAACACAUACAGAAAUGGAACAAAUAAUUUGAAUAAUGAAACAAGGAAACAGAUAUUUCAAUUCAUCAAGGAAUAUUCACCCAAAUGAAGAGUAGACCUUCACUAAGAGCUUGUACUGAGAAUUAUCUAUGGUUACAUGCAACAGUGACCCUAACUGUUCCACCUAUAUUUGCCAUCAUCUCCCACCAUCUAAUGGAUAUUAAGAGAUGCUAGGUGAUAUGUUCCACAACAUGAGGUCUGGUUGUUUUGUUUGAUGAUAUUACAAUUUUUUAUGGAUUUUUUUAGUUUUAGAAAAGCAAGCCAAGUCAGUUUUCUCUCUAAUUUGUACAAGGUGAUGAUGGAAACACUGGCUUUCGAUUGGACGAGGAACCAGUGCGUAUGACCAAAAGCCUGAUUGUCUCUAAAUGCACAUGACCAAAGAUGCCUUUUAAAUGGUAUAGACUAGAAUUGUGUACAAAAACAGUGUCUAGGGUCAGGAAGUUGAAGAGAAUAACAUGGCUAAAAAUAUGUUUUGACUCUACACAGAGUGAUUUAAUUAAGGUGCAGGGUACUAGCUCUGUCUACAUAUUGAUUCCCAAAAGACUGACAAAAUAUGAUGUUGAUAUCCUUAUGGGAGUUUCCACCUGAUCCCUCCUGCGUUAUCCUACAGGUCAAUGCCAUCGAAAAAAGGCUUGAAUUGUUUGCAGCAAAAAGAGUUUCAAGCUCCACCUACAGUGGUUUUAUUCCUUAAAGAGCUCGGUGGUGUAUAGUGGGAGUAUUGAUUGGCAUAUACCGUAUGUACAUUGUGUGUGAGGCUAAUUGUACUGUGUUUCAUUUCCAUUAAAUAGUCCCUUCCAAUAAGAAACACAUAAGAGAAUGUGAAACUUUAUUCACUGUUUGUAGUCUCACCAAUUGAAAUAAAACUGGUCAUACUUUGGUGGCCGAACCAA